This 19-nucleotide small nuclear RNA is filed under the name Arabidopsis thaliana (thale cress). RNAcentral describes it as "snRNA_16710". The record is from RNAcentral. Lineage: Eukaryota; Viridiplantae; Streptophyta; Magnoliopsida; Brassicales; Brassicaceae.
UGGAUGAUGAGAAACAAAA